UACGGAGGAUGCAAGCGUUAUCCGGAUUUAUUGGGUUUAAAGGGUGCGCAGGUGGUUGAAUAAGUCAGUGGUGAAAGUCUGGCGCUUAACGUUAGGAUUGCCAUUGAUACUGUUUGACUUGAAUAUGGAUGAGGUAGGCGGAAUGUGUAGUGUAGCGGUGAAAUGCUUAGAUAUUACACAGAACACCGAUUGCGAAGGCAGCUUACUAAUCCAUUAUUGACGCUGAGGCACGAAAGCGUGGGGAUCAAACAGGAUUAGAUACCCUGGUAGUCCACGCUGUAAACGAUGAUCACUCGCUGUUUGCGAUACACAGUCAGCGGCUAAGCAAAAGCAUUAAGUGAUCCACCUGGGGAGUACGGCCGCAAGGCUGAA
This 372-nucleotide ribosomal RNA is filed under the name uncultured bacterium. RNAcentral describes it as "bacterial SSU rRNA". It matches the Rfam family "Bacterial small subunit ribosomal RNA", at positions 524 to 898 of the family's 1533-position model. The record is from RNAcentral.